CCAUCCUCACAGGAAAUAAGUGUUUUUUGUGUUCAAGUGGAAUUUCCUAUGUUUCAGUUGUGCCCUUUGCCUCUUGUCCUGCAACUGGGCACCACUGAGAGUAGUCUGUCCCCUUCCUCUUUACAUCUUCCCUU
Tinamus guttatus (white-throated tinamou) is the source of this 134-nucleotide non-coding RNA. The record is from RefSeq and is a predicted model, not a curated record. Lineage: Eukaryota; Metazoa; Chordata; Aves; Tinamiformes; Tinamidae.